This 278-nucleotide small nuclear RNA is filed under the name Carlito syrichta (Philippine tarsier). Its description in RNAcentral is "7SK RNA (ENSTSYG00000021786.2)". It matches the Rfam family "7SK RNA". Rfam says of the family: 7SK was discovered as an abundant small nuclear RNA in the mid-70s but a possible function has only recently been suggested. Two independent studies have found that 7SK RNA binds the CDK9/cyclin T complex (known as elongation factor P-TEFb). P-TEFb activates transcription by phosphorylating the C-terminal domain of RNA polymerase II. Lineage: Eukaryota; Metazoa; Chordata; Mammalia; Primates; Tarsiidae. The record is from Rfam by way of RNAcentral.
GGAUGUGAGGACAAUCCAGCUGUGACAUCUGUCACCCCAGAGUUGAUUCGGUUGGCUGGGUGUGUGUCCCUUUCCUUCCUCACCACUCCCUGUUUGUCCCUCCCAAAGCUACAUGCUAGGACAAAGAGGGCGACCAUCCCCACUAGAGGAAGGCUGUUCUUCAGUCAAGGGCAUACUAGUAGCUAGAACCUCUAAACAAGCUCUCAAAAACUACAAAACAAAACGCUGGAUGUGGUGGCACAUACUUGUAGCCUCAACUAAUUGGGAGGCUGAGGCAG